RNAcentral lists this long non-coding RNA (1249 nucleotides) under Sarcophilus harrisii (Tasmanian devil). RNAcentral describes it as "lncRNA (ENSSHAG00000027650.1)". The record is from RNAcentral. Lineage: Eukaryota; Metazoa; Chordata; Mammalia; Dasyuromorphia; Dasyuridae.
CUCUGUUAUGUCAUCCCCAUCCUAGGUUCCUCCCCCCAUUAGGUCAUCCCUAUCCAGGUACCUCCCUCCAUUAUGUCAUCCUCAUCCUAGGUUCCUCCCCCCAUUAGGUCAUCCCUAUCCAGGUACCUCCCCCAUUACGUCAUCGGUCUUGUAACCCUAUAAAAGAAUCUUGUAUUCAACAUUCAGGGCUGGAUUCUUUGAGAUGACAGUCUCCUUCAGCCCUGGGACCAAACAUGGAUCCAUUUGGUCCCGGUACAGAGACAGCAUUUAUUUAAGCCCUGCUGGGAGAGUCCCAGACACACCUGGGAGCCAUUCCAACUCCCACCACGUGCUCCUGAACCUGAGCAGCCGGAAGUAAAACUUUUUGGUUGGAUGGACCAAAAGGGCGUAACCAUUCUUAACCAAUGGCCGCCAGGGUUGUCUGCCUCCCACGGGUCACUUCACUUCCUGUCACCUCCCGCAAGCCAGGGUUCAAGACUGGGAAUAGGGAGCAUGCGCUUUCCUGAAACCCGAGGCGCCGGGGCUCAUCUUCCCGCUCUGGAUAUAGCGAUCACGCAACUUAGUCACAACACUGAGAAAUACUUCAUCCCAUCACUUCCAGUCAGUCCUAAAGAGAGUCUGGAAUUAUUUAUAUUUCUCUUAAAGAAGAAAAAUGAAUUAUGUCUUUCCUAAUACCCUAAUACCGUGUUUGGUCACCUUCUAGCACUCCUGAGACUCUGAAGCAGAAUGUCCCGACUGCUCUAGAAACUGUUUUUCAAACUCCUAGUGAUUUCUGUGUUGUUUCCCCGCUGGUCCCUGGCGUGUGUCUCCCUUCUGGCCUCCUUGCGAGAAGGAAGAUGCCGUGUCAUUUGUGACCCGCAGGUUAACAUCGCUCCUCAGACUGACACUGGGAUACAAAUCUCUGUAAGGUCCCACCAUGGGUAAAGGUUCAAUUCGCGGGAUGGAACUGAAGGAACACUUUGUUUAAGUGCUAAGAGUUUGUCAGGGCCAUUUGUUUAUUUUUCAGCUCCCGCUUGCUCCUAAUAAAGCCGGAGGGAUGCGGGUUGUCGAGGGGGGGGGGAGGGGGGAGGAGACCGGCGGCCACGGGCUCCCAGGGCGUUCCGCAUAGCUGUGGCUUUCUGCGCGCGCCUCACCGGACCAGCCCUGGGGAAACAAACAAACAGGCCACCAGGGCGCGGCUGUCUCGAGCUUUGCCUUCCACGCCUAUUCUCCCCCGGACAGGAGAAGAAGGCGGGGCGAGUUGUUGUGU